RNAcentral lists this ribosomal RNA (253 nucleotides) under uncultured bacterium. RNAcentral's name for it is "partial 16S ribosomal RNA". It matches the Rfam family "Bacterial small subunit ribosomal RNA", at positions 524 to 776 of the family's 1533-position model. The record is from RNAcentral.
UACGAAGGGGGCUAGCGUUGUUCGGAAUCACUGGGCGUAAAGGGUGCGUAGGCGGGUCUUUAAGUCAGGGGUGAAAUCCUGGGGCUCAACUCCAGAACUGCCUUUGAUACUGAAGAUCUUGAGUUCGGGAGAGGUGAGUGGAACUGCGAGUGUAGAGGUGAAAUUCGUAGAUAUUCGCAAGAACACCAGUGGCGAAGGCGGCUCACUGGCCCGAUACUGACGCUGAGGCACGAAAGCGUGGGGAGCAAACAGG